RNAcentral lists this long non-coding RNA (259 nucleotides) under Citrus sinensis (sweet orange). RNAcentral describes it as "long non-coding RNA (CSIN_LNC000371)". Lineage: Eukaryota; Viridiplantae; Streptophyta; Magnoliopsida; Sapindales; Rutaceae. The record is from RNAcentral.
AAUGCUGUGCACACGGGGAGGAAUGGGACAAGGGGGUGUGAAAAACAUGAUAUAAUUUUUUUCUGCUGAUUCUUGUAUCAUUUUGAAAACGAUUAAAAAGUGCUCAUAAAUAACUUGUUUUGAUGUAUAAAAGUCAAAAUUUUUGUUGUCUAUUAUAAAUGAAUAUGAUCUCACGCAUCUAGGGAGAAUCAAACUUUCAAUUUCAAAGAUAAGCGUAACAAAUCUAUUUAAUUCAACUAAAAAAUUAAAUAUUAGAGUU